AUACGGAGGGAGCAAGCGUUAUUCGGAAUCACUGGGCGUAAAGGACGCGUAGGCGGGUUUGUAAGUCAGGUGUGAAAUCCUACAGCUCAACUGUAGAACUGCACUUGAAACUACAGACCUAGAGUAUGGAAGGGGCAGAUGGAAUUAGUGGUGUAGGGGUAAAAUCCGUAGAUAUCACUAGGAAUACCGAAAGCGAAGGCGAUCUGCUGGGACAUUACUGACGCUGAGGCGUGAAAGCGUGGGGAGCAAACAGUAUUAGAUACCCCGGUAGUCC
This 274-nucleotide ribosomal RNA is filed under the name uncultured bacterium. RNAcentral's name for it is "partial 16S ribosomal RNA". It matches the Rfam family "Bacterial small subunit ribosomal RNA", at positions 523 to 796 of the family's 1533-position model. The record is from RNAcentral.